UACGUAGACAGCAAGCGUUGUUCGGAGUUACUGGGCGUAAAGGGUGUGUAGGCGGUUCUUUAAGUUUGGUGUGAAAUCUCCCGGCUCAACUGGGAGGGUGCGCCGAAUACUGAGGGACUAGAGUACGGGAGAGGAAAGUGGAAUUCCUGGUGUAGCGGUGAAAUGCGUAGAUAUCAGGAGGAACACCGGUGGUGUAGACGGCUUUCUGGACCGACACUGACGCUGAGACACGAAAGCGUGGGUAGCAAACAGG
This 253-nucleotide ribosomal RNA is filed under the name uncultured bacterium. RNAcentral's name for it is "partial 16S ribosomal RNA". It matches the Rfam family "Bacterial small subunit ribosomal RNA", at positions 524 to 776 of the family's 1533-position model. The record is from RNAcentral.